RNAcentral lists this ribosomal RNA (497 nucleotides) under uncultured bacterium. RNAcentral describes it as "partial 16S ribosomal RNA". It matches the Rfam family "Bacterial small subunit ribosomal RNA", at positions 28 to 507 of the family's 1533-position model. The record is from RNAcentral.
GAUGAACGCUGGCGGCGUGCCUAAUACAUGCAAGUCGAGCGAACAGACGAGGAGCUUGCUCCUCUGACGUUAGCGGCGGACGGGUGAGUAACACGUGGAUAACCUACCUAUAAGACUGGGAUAACUUCGGGAAACCGGAGCUAAUACCGGAUAAUAUAUUGAACCGCAUGGUUCAAUAGUGAAAGACGGUUUUGCUGUCCCUUAUAGAUGGAUCCGCGCCGCAUUAGCUAGUUGGUAAGGUAACGGCUUACCAAGGCAACGAUGCGUAGCCGACCUGAGAGGGUGAUCGGCCACACUGGAGCUGAGACACGGUCCAGACUCCUACGGGAGGCAGCAGUAGGGAAUCUUCCGCAAUGGGCGAAAGCCUGACGGAGCAACGCCGCGUGAGUGAUGAAGGUCUUCGGAUCGUAAAACUCUGUUAUUAGGGAAGAACAAAUGUGUAAGUAACUAUGCACGUCUUGACGGUACCUAAUCAGAAAGCCACGGCUAACUACGUG